UCUGAACAAUCAGGGCACAUAUGGGAUUUUUUAGACAGGAGGAAAUGACGGAAUCUGGGCUCGGCCUGGGAAAAAUAAACAACCAAAUUGUUCAGUGAGGAAUAGAGGCAAGAGGAAAAUGUGAUUCUCUCUCUUUCUCUCGUUUUCACAAGCGUUGCCAGCUAACUACUUUGGCAGCCAGAGCCACGGAUAAUAAUAAUCAAACCUCUUUUUAAAGUCAAGGCAGAGCUGAGAUGCAUUUUCCUCCGCGUUGUUUGGCUGAAGAACUGCGUUGCAAAAUUCAAAGAAUUGUGACUUUCAAAGGAAGGUGUUUUGAUUUGCAUAAUUAGGCAGAUUAGAUCACCUCUCAUUUAAAAGCAGACUUCGUUGAACUUUUGUCUCACUCAUCCUCACAACUCCUUCCUUGGCCACCUCAAAAGUAAGGCAGGUGUGGUCUAAUCAAAACAUGUAACUGUUUAAUUCCUCUCAUUCAGUUGAAGAAGGCAAAUGGCAGGCUUGGCACACUGCUCCUCCUCUGCUCCAACAAGCCCAGUGAAUUCCCCCUGUGCUUCCGGUCGCAGCCGAGGAAAAAGUCAACAGAAAAGAGAAAGAACAACAGCCCUGUAGCUGACACAAGACGGGCUUGGUUUCCCCAGGUGCCCCUGAGGAUUCUCGCAUCACCUCUGCUGUUGACAGAUGGCUUUUGCUUUUCGCUUUUGAAUUUUGUGUCAAUGACUUUCCAGUGACUGGAAUACAUUAUGUUCUCGGGUCCCGCCCUGGCUCUCGAGAUGCUUUUAAUUUGUAGGUUUAAGCUUAAAUUCCUCGACGGGUGCCAACUUUUCUGUUUGUUUUCCUCGGGAGCGCUUUGCACUAUGGGUUUCGGUAACUGUUAACCGUUGGGGGGCAUUAAUUGCAGCUCCCGAGGUCAUCUUUCAGAGCUGACUUAUAUUUCUGUCGACACCAGAGUUGCUCCUCGACGACCUGCCUUUCUGCUGCGGCGCAGCUUUUUUUUGACUCCUGUAAUUACCCUCUGAAUUUAAGCUGAUUAUGUCGACUUUG
Non-coding RNA from Podarcis muralis (Common wall lizard), 1038 nucleotides. Lineage: Eukaryota; Metazoa; Chordata; Lepidosauria; Squamata; Lacertidae. The record is from RefSeq and is a predicted model, not a curated record.